Molecule: ribosomal RNA, 460 nt
Filed under: uncultured bacterium
Lineage: Bacteria
Description: partial 16S ribosomal RNA
Rfam family: Bacterial small subunit ribosomal RNA
Source: RNAcentral
CCUACGAGUGGCAGCAGUGAGGAAUAUUGGUCAAUGGACGAGAGUCUGAACCAGCCAAGUAGCGUGAAGGAUGAAUGCUCUAUGGGUUGUAAACUUCUUUUAUAAAGGAAUAAAACGAGGCACGUGUGCCUUUUUGCAUGUACUUUAUGAAUAAGGAUCGGCUAACUCCGUGCCAGCAGCCGCGGUACUACGGAGGAUCCGAGCGUUAUCCGGAUUUAUUGGGUUUAACGGGAGCGUAGAUGGGUUGUUAAGUCAGUUGUGAAAGUUUGCGGCUCAACCGGAAAGUUGCAAUUGAUACUGGCAGUCUUGAGUGCAGUUGAGGUAGGCGGAAUUCGUGGUGUAGCGGUGAAAUGCUUAGAUAUCGCGAAGAACCCCGAUUGCGAAGGCAGCUUACUAAUCUGUGACUGACGUUGAGGCUCGAAAGUGUGGGUAUCAAACAGGAUUAGAUACCCGGGUAGUC